GUGCUCACUUUGAGAGCACAUUUACUAAAAUUGGAACAAUAUAGCAAAGAUUAGCAUGACCUUUGCACAGGAUGACAUACAUUAUAUGAGCUUGGCACCAAUGGCUC
Molecule: small nuclear RNA, 107 nt
Organism: Dipodomys ordii (Ord's kangaroo rat)
Lineage: Eukaryota; Metazoa; Chordata; Mammalia; Rodentia; Heteromyidae
Source: Ensembl